CCAGGACUGCCACGUUGGUGACUGCCAAAUAUGUUUGUUGAUCUAUAGUCGACGUAUUAGGGAGCCGACGGGAGUCUUGUGGCAGUAGGCCGGGCUUUGGCUACCCGGAAACGAAAGCAGGACAGUUGGCGCCCACCUGGUGUUCUGAGGUCAAAAACUGAGGCAAAACGGCGUGGCGGUUCAACU
RNAcentral lists this non-coding RNA (186 nucleotides) under Geminocystis sp. RNAcentral describes it as "6S RNA". It matches the Rfam family "6S / SsrS RNA". From Rfam's summary of the family: E. coli 6S RNA was the first non coding RNA to be sequenced, but its function was unknown until recently. It consists of 184 nucleotides that fold into an extended hairpin structure with a large single-stranded internal bulge. The 6S RNA specifically associates with RNA polymerase holoenzyme containing the sigma70 specificity factor. RNAcentral also lists the same sequence under 1 other name. The record is from RNAcentral. Lineage: Bacteria; Bacillati; Cyanobacteriota; Cyanophyceae; Chroococcales; Geminocystaceae.